Molecule: ribosomal RNA, 254 nt
Filed under: uncultured bacterium
Lineage: Bacteria
Description: partial 16S ribosomal RNA
Rfam family: Bacterial small subunit ribosomal RNA
Source: RNAcentral
UACGUAGGGAGCAAGCGUUGUCCGGAUUUAUUGGGCGUAAAGAGCUCGUAGGCGGUUCUGUAAGUCGGGUGUGAAAACUCCAGGCUCAACCUGGCGAUGCCACUCGAUACUGCGGUGACUUGAGUCUGGUAGGGGAGCACGGAAUUCCUGGUGUAGCGGUGAAAUGCACAGAUAUCAGGAGGAACACCGGUGGCGAAGGCGGUGCUCUGGGCCAGUACUGACGCUGAGGAGCGAAAGCGUGGGGAGCGAACAGG